RNAcentral lists this non-coding RNA (168 nucleotides) under chicken gut metagenome. The record is from RNAcentral.
ACAGUGAUGUUGGGGCCGAAGGAAGCGUGAAACAAAAUCGUGGGCUAACGAACAGAAACUUAAUACUAAGGCUCUAUAAGGAGGAUAAGAUUGCAUAGUAAAUCAAAGUCCAAAAUGAUAACGUAUCCUUAUGUGAAGUAGAUUAAGUGGCUAAACGAGGAAAGUUAU